AUAACUAGUAUACUCCUUUUCCUAAAUACACAAACAAAUACACACUUUCUUUUAAAAGUAAACCAACAGAAAAAUAAUCUCCUUCGCUAAAACCAUCGGAUUCUCCGUCUCUCUCUCUACUGUGUUUUAUUUAAAAGAACAUCCUCAAAACUGCAAAAACAAGAAUCUCCAAAUCCAUCUUCCUCCAUACCAUUUUUUCCCACAAAAGGGCAAGAACACAAACCCAAAACAGAGGCUAGAGGUCACGCAAAUUUGCUGCUGCUGCCAACAUCUCUCCUACGAAGCAGCCCAGUUUCCACCCCGCAAUUUCAGUACGAUGGUGUAGGAUGUAUGAAUGCACAAAUAUGAAAAUAGGUUUGGGUGGGAGAGGUGGUUACCUCCGGUAACAGAUCAUAGAAAACAAAGGAUCAGGCAAUAAGGAUUGUGUUUUUCCGUUCCUUUCUGGAUUUGAUUCCUGGUUCCAUCAAACAAAACAAAUAUGGUGUGUCAAAGGGGAUUUAUCUUGUGGGAGAGAAGAAUGAGAUUUAUCUUGUGAGAUUACCUUUGGAGAUGUGAAAUCAAACUCUUGCUUCAAUGCUUUGCUCUCCAGUUGAGAAUUUAUAGAAAACGUGAUGGCUGCGAGAGAAAUAUAGGUAGACUGUGAAUGAAUUGGGUACUGAGAAUGGGUUUAUAUACCGUGUUUUGCAGAAGAAAUUUUGAUAAUUGAUUCUCAGGAAUUAAAGGUGAUUGGGGUUUA
Molecule: long non-coding RNA, 736 nt
Organism: Salvia hispanica
Lineage: Eukaryota; Viridiplantae; Streptophyta; Magnoliopsida; Lamiales; Lamiaceae
Source: RefSeq, a predicted model, not a curated record